AGUGUGGCUCAGUGGUAGAGAGCACUUGCAUAGCAUGCAUGAAGCCUUGGGUUCAAUUCCCAGCACU
Molecule: transfer RNA, 67 nt
Filed under: Heterocephalus glaber (naked mole-rat)
Lineage: Eukaryota; Metazoa; Chordata; Mammalia; Rodentia; Bathyergidae
Rfam family: tRNA
About the family: Transfer RNA (tRNA) molecules are approximately 80 nucleotides in length. Their secondary structure includes four short double-helical elements and three loops (D, anti-codon, and T loops).
Source: Rfam by way of RNAcentral